This 363-nucleotide ribosomal RNA is filed under the name uncultured fungus. RNAcentral describes it as "eukaryotic LSU rRNA". It matches the Rfam family "Eukaryotic large subunit ribosomal RNA", at positions 40 to 398 of the family's 3401-position model. Lineage: Eukaryota; Fungi. The record is from RNAcentral.
AUAUCAUUAAGCGGAGGAAAAGAAACUAACAAGGAUUCCCCUAGUAACUGCGAGUGAAGCGGGAAGAGCUCAAAUUUGAAAUCUGGCAGCUUUGCUGUCCGAGUUGUAAUCUGUAGAAGUGUUUUCUGCAUUGGACCGUGUACAGGUCUCUUGGAACAGAGCGUCAUAGAGGGUGAGAAUCCCGUUCAUGACAUGGACUACCAAUGCUUUGUGAUACACUCUCAAAGAGUCGAGUUGUUUGGGAAUGCAGCUCAAAAUGGGUGGUAAAUUCCAUCUAAAGCUAAAUACAAGCAAGAGACCGAUAGUGAACAAGUACCGUGAGGGAAAGAUGAAAAGCACUUUGGAAAGAGAGUUAAACAGUAU